GGCUUUUCAUCCAGCGACGGCUCGGCUGCUCCCUCCUCUGAGCUCUCCUCGGCCCCUUCUUCCCCCAGGCCAGAGGUGGCUGAGUCCUCCAGAGCAGACGCGGAGUCAGGUGUGCUGGGCCCACUGACAGAGCCCAAGUCCCCUUCUUCGCUGCUGGAGCCAUAGCGGUCGGGCUGGGCAGCCGUCCCACCUUCCCGGCAGCUCCUCCGCUCCUUGCGGUGCACCCGCGAGUGCAGCACCA
This 241-nucleotide long non-coding RNA is filed under the name Gallus gallus (chicken). Lineage: Eukaryota; Metazoa; Chordata; Aves; Galliformes; Phasianidae. The record is from RNAcentral.